ACGAUUCGAACCACCUAACGAGGAACGAUCGGAGGGCAAGUCUGGUGCCAGCAGCCGCGGUAAUUCCAGCUCCAAUAGCGUACGUUAAAGUUGCUGCAGUUAAAAAGCUCGUAGUUGAACGUUCGGGUUCCGCGGGACGGGGCCGCCCCGCGAGGGACGGCGCCGCCCCGGGGCUCGUGAUAUCUCAUCUCGCCGCCCGUCGCGAGGCGGACGGAGGGAUGGAUGAGGUUACCUGGAAAAAAUCGGGGCGAUCUAGGCGGGCGAACCUCGCCAACGAACGAUCGGACAUGGGAUAACGGAAGAGGGCGUCGGCUCGACUUCGUCGGUUCCUCGGGCCGAGGCACGUACGGUGAAUAGGGACGGUCGGGGCCGCCCGUACCGGGUAGUCAGAGGUGAAAUUCUAAGAUUUGCUGAAGACGAACUAAUGCGAAAGCAUUUGCCAAGGAUGUUUCAUUAAUCAAGAACGAAAGUUAGGGGAUCAAAGACGAUCAGAUACCGUCUAGUCUUAACUAUAAACUAUGCCGACUCGGAUUCAGAU
RNAcentral lists this ribosomal RNA (538 nucleotides) under uncultured eukaryote. RNAcentral describes it as "bacterial SSU rRNA". It matches the Rfam family "Eukaryotic small subunit ribosomal RNA", at positions 520 to 1058 of the family's 1831-position model. The record is from RNAcentral.